UAAUAGGAAAAAUUACCAUUCUUUAAAUGUUCAAUUGGUAAUAUGUAGUGCUGAUUUAAUAAUGCAUGUAGUACCUUUUCAUUGACAGAAGAUAUGUGAUGAAUCAUUACGUAUCAUGAAUGUGAAUGCUAGGUUUCCGGGGAGCACUCAUGAUGCUUAUAUUUGGAGACAUUCCGCAGUGUCUCAAGUCAUGGAAGCAAUGUACCGUCGAGAUGCGCGUAAUGUUUUUUACCUUUUAGGCGAUUCAGGAUAUCCUACACGUCCUUGGUUGCUGACACCUAUCCCGAACCCACAAGCAGGUGGGGAAGAACGUUUCAAUGAUAGGAUAUGCAGUAUUCGCAGUUUAAUUGAGAGGUGUAAUGGGGUGUUAAAGAAUCGUUUCCGAUGUUUGUUACGGCACAGAGUGUUACAUUAUACUCCGACAGUAGCUGCACGUAUUGUCAAUGCUUGUGUUGUGUUACACAAUAUGUGUAUUGCAUAUGCUGUCCCGGAGCUCCGUUACGACCAGUUUAUAGAUCAUCCCGAUUACGGGAUUUUUGCAGCAGAAGUGAGAGGUCAACCCGGUGGGAUAAACCCUGAUCUUAUAGCAGUAAGGAGAUUACAGCAAAAUAUAAUACAAAAUCAUCUUUAAUACAAAAAUGUUAAACCUAAUAUUCAAUAAAAUUACAUUA
Molecule: long non-coding RNA, 671 nt
Organism: Photinus pyralis (common eastern firefly)
Lineage: Eukaryota; Metazoa; Arthropoda; Insecta; Coleoptera; Lampyridae
Exons: 3
Source: RefSeq, a predicted model, not a curated record